This 627-nucleotide ribosomal RNA is filed under the name uncultured bacterium. RNAcentral's name for it is "bacterial SSU rRNA". It matches the Rfam family "Bacterial small subunit ribosomal RNA", at positions 202 to 849 of the family's 1533-position model. The record is from RNAcentral.
AAAAACUCCGGUGGUGUGAGAUGGAUCCGCGUCUGAUUAGCCAGUUGGCGGGGUAACGGCCCACCAAAGCGACGAUCAGUAGCCGGCCUGAGAGGGUGACCGGCCACAUUGGGACUGAGACACGGCCCAAACUCCUACGGGAGGCAGCAGUGGGGAAUAUUGCACAAUGGGCGAAAGCCUGAUGCAGCGACGCCGCGUGAGUGAAGAAGUAUUUCGGUAUGUAAAGCUCUAUCAGCAGGGAAGAAAAUGACGGUACCUGACUAAGAAGCCCCGGCUAACUACGUGCCAGCAGCCGCGGUAAUACGUAGGGGGCAAGCGUUAUCCGGAUUUACUGGGUGUAAAGGGAGCGUAGACGGCGAAGCAAGUCUGAAGUGAAAACCCAGGGCUCAACCCUGGGACUGCUUUGGAAACUGUUUUGCUAGAGUGUCGGAGAGGUAAGUGGAAUUCCUAGUGUAGCGGUGAAAUGCGUAGAUAUUAGGAGGAACACCAGUGGCGAAGGCGGCUUACUGGACGAUAACUGACGUUGAGGCUCGAAAGCGUGGGGAGCAAACAGGAUUAGAUAUCCUGGUAGUCCACGCCGUAAACGAUGAAUGCUAGGUGUUGGGGGGCAAAGCCCUUCGGUGCCGC